UAAAGAUCAUAUGACUGACGGAAGUGGGAAUAACCACAUGGAGUAUGAUCGGAAAAUGCCGACCGUCUGGGCGUAAAAU
This 79-nucleotide non-coding RNA is filed under the name Clostridiales bacterium. RNAcentral describes it as "pfl". It matches the Rfam family "ZMP/ZTP riboswitch aptamer (pfl RNA motif)". From Rfam's summary of the family: Previously known as pfl RNA. ZMP is also known as AICAR. The record is from RNAcentral. Lineage: Bacteria; Bacillati; Bacillota; Clostridia; Eubacteriales. RNAcentral also lists the same sequence under 1 other name.